Dunckerocampus dactyliophorus (ringed pipefish) is the source of this 3206-nucleotide RNA transcript. RefSeq lists it as uncharacterized. The transcript is spliced from 8 exons. Lineage: Eukaryota; Metazoa; Chordata; Actinopteri; Syngnathiformes; Syngnathidae. The record is from RefSeq and is a predicted model, not a curated record.
UGUGUCAGAGAGUUUGAUUGAAACGGAAACAGUCCUGAAUUCUCAGUGCCUGAUUGGCUAUCUUUGACGAAGCUGGAGGAAGCAGGAUUUCAUGGACAUGGCCCAUCUUCCCAAUCAAUGACUGAUAGAAGAAGAUGGCGGACCGGGAGAAACUCAGUGAAGCCAUUGGCCUUUUAAACAACAUUUUAAACUCUCCAACCGUUAUCACAACAAUGUCAGAAAUGUUGGAUCAAAGGCGACAGACACCCACAGGUGCCUCUUCUAACGCGACUGUGGAGGAGGAAAUGCGGCGGAUCUUCAGGGCUAGCUCAUCAGGUGUAUCAGGAAGUGCCAGUAGCACUUUGUCUGGAUCUAGCCUGAACCAAGUGAUGCAACCUCGAUAUCGAACUCAACAGUAUUUCGGUGGAUGGGCUUCAAAGUCAAGGAAGAAGCCUACUGCCUUAAAUCACCCUACCUUUAAUAAGGACAUCAUCCUGCUACCUGAUUCUACAUGGGAUGAAGUCUGCAAACACAAAACCAAAAGAAGGCUUCAUGAAAGGGGCUAUAUUUUAAGUGCCUUUGAGAUGAGGAAAAUGUGGGACUGCAGGACAGUCAUUGCAGAGAUAAGAGAAGCAUUCAAGGACAGAAUUCCUGAGGAUGUCAGUAUUGAUCUUUUGAUGGCAUGUGGAAACAAACUGGUUUCACCAAAGUUGUGUGAGGGCCAGGAACUGAAUGGCUUUAUGGUUCACAAGGUGUUCAAAUCAAAGGCAGUGUACAUUAGGCCAUCGACAAAUCUUCCAUUUCCGUCUGACAGCACAGAUUCGGAGGACAGUUGUGUGGAGGUUGACGCUACAUCAGCAUCUCGUGACCACAGUACCAGUCAGACCAGUGACUGUAUGACCACAAGGGCCAGGGGAAACCAAACUGCAUCAAUAAAGCAGAUCUCUAGUUAUCCUUUCACAAGAAGGGCCAGAGCUAACCAGCUCUCUGCAACACAGCAAGCAUCCAGUGUCAUUGACUUAGAUAGUGUUGGCACAGUGAACCAGACACCAUCAGCUAGUGAUGACAACUAUGCUGCCUACCUUUCGAUCAUGGGUUCCAUCUCAGACCUUUCUUCUGAUGAUGAGGAAGUAAACCAGGCAAUAAUGGCCAGUCCUGAGAGUCAUGUGGCAUCCCAACACAGAGAUGCAAAAUCAGCACAGGAAGUGCUCCUCAAUCUUGCAUCCCUAAUUGACAGUAACAAAAGAUGCAGGUUCAACAUUAAUAGGUCUUCAGUACUGGAUGGUGCUCUGCGGGGCUUCAGACGACUGUCCUAUAAUCCCAAGCACCAGAUGUGCAUCCAGUUUUCAGAUGAUUUAGGAAUGAAUGAAGAGGCUGUGGACCUUGGUGGCCCUAGGAGAGAAUUUUUACAGUUGCUAAAGGAAAGCCCUGGUACUGUCACCAAUGUUUGAAGGAAGAGACGAUAAAUUGAACUUGGCUUUGGACAGUUCAGUGUUGGAAGGCUAAAUAAGCAAAACACCUCUCAGUAUAAUGCAAUCCAGUUCAACAGCACCAAAACCUGCAGACUCCAAAAUGAUCAUACAGUUGAAUCAACACUUUUCAAAGAUAGUGUGUGGCGUUGUUUUCUAUCCACAAAACACUUGUCAAAAGGAGGCUACAGAUUUAUCACACAUACUGUUUGCAUCCUUGGAUGCCAACCUUUGCUUUAGUUUAUUAUUUCUCUUUUUUCUUUUGUGUGGUGUUUUUAGGUGUCCGAAUGUACGUCUUUGGAUCCCUGAUAAACGCCACUGCAAGAUGAACCACUGCAAGAUUACCUGGCAAAUGCUGGGUGUCUCAGGCCACUGAAAUGCAUUGAGGACAGAGAUCUGCUGGUUAAAGACAUUCUCAUGUUUCAGAUUUCAUCCUAACUUGUGCUGGCAUCUUGGAUUUUCGAGGAACGUGUUGUUCCAUUUUGGAGGGACUACCUGCAGGAUGUUGAAGAGCAAGAGGGAUCCUCAAAGCUAGGUCAAAUCCUAGCCUUUGCAACGGGUGCAAGUGUCAUCCCUCCGGUUGGCUUCUCCCCUCAACCAUCAGUUGAUUUCUUGCAUGAUCAGCCUGUCAGCUCCAGACGCUGUUUGCCAAUGGCAAACACCUGCAUCAACUGCCUUAAGUUGCUGCUGCUUGACACAUACGAGGAUUUCAGGGAGAGUAUGGACUUUGCUUUAGGUAACACACAGGGUUUUGGUAGAGAAUAAUAUAUGGACUGUGAACAUUCAAGCUUAGCCAUUUGCAGAAAAAUCUUGCAUUUGAUGCUAUUACAGGUAACUAUUACAGUUUGAAAAAAAAAAAAACAAACACAUUUUCAGUAGUGAGCCCAAACUUUUUUUUUUCCAAUAACCAAUGCAUUCACAGGCUGUAUAGAAUACCUUUUUUUCUGUCACAUUCUUUUUGUCAUGAUUCAGUGUUGUCGCUUUGCUGCCGCCUACCUGUUUUCUGUUGCAGUGUUUACCAUACCCCUGAUUACUCAUGUGAUUCACCUGUGACCAAUUCCCUGGGCCUUUAUCAGCUGCUGCCCGACCACAACCCAUUGCCAGUUAUUCCUUUGCCUACCCUGCGUCCUGUACCUUCUUUCCCUGGCUUCCAACUGGUCUCCAUUGCUCCCUUCCUUGCUGCCAUUGUGAUUACUAGUAUCGUGUAUGUUCCUGUUCUGUAUGCCGUUUUGCUACAGCUAUCUUAUUUGUUACUUAGUUUUCCUCCUGCUUGCCAGUGAUUUUUUGUUAGUACUUUUUGGCCUUUGCCCUGCGCACCUUAGUUAUAUUUUUGUAUUUUUGUUGUAUUUUUGCACCUUAUUACCUUCGGUAAUAAAAGUGUAUUUUUUCACUCAGCGCUGUGUCCAUCUGCAUUCUGGGUUCCCACUCUCUUGGCGUCAGCCAAAUCGUGACACUUUUUUGAUCAACUAACUAAAACUUUGAAUAUAUGUGACGAGUGGAGUGGUUGGGAGGUUAUUUUUGUUUUUUUUUUAGGGUAUAGAAGCCCAGUGGUGCAAAAAAAGCUAAAUGUUGGUAACAUUAUUCAGUCUGUUGUGAUAUAUACUGUUUAGCUUAGCACUUUGCAUAAAAGUACUAUAUGCAGCCAUUUACCAUGUAUCUGUUAGAGUACAAUCCACAGUGUUCUACUGUAGUACUCAAGCAUCCUUGUUACUGUUCACUAAUAAAAUUCGCCAGGCCUAAAAAUAAUUGUAUGCCGUG